This 138-nucleotide unclassified non-coding RNA is filed under the name soil metagenome. RNAcentral describes it as "partial internal transcribed spacer 1". The record is from RNAcentral.
CCUAGAGUUGUAGGCUUUGCCUGCUAUCUCUUACCCAUGUCUUUUGAGUACCUUCGUUUCCUCGGCGGGUCCGCCCGCCGAUUGGACAAUUUAAACCAUUUGCAGUUGCAGUCGGCGUCUGAAAAAACUUAAUAGUUA